Molecule: ribosomal RNA, 260 nt
Filed under: uncultured archaeon
Lineage: Archaea
Description: partial 16S ribosomal RNA
Rfam family: Archaeal small subunit ribosomal RNA
Source: RNAcentral
UAGGCGUAAAUGAUGCGAGUUAAGUGUGGGGCAUCUACGAGAUGGCCCUGUGCUGUAGGGUAGCCGUUAAACUCGCUGCCUGGGGAGUACGGUCGCAAGGCUGAAACUUAAAGGAAUUGGCGGGGGAGCACUACAACGGGUGGAGCCUGCGGUUUAAUUGGACUCAACGCCGGAAAACUCACCGGGGGCGACAGCAAUAUGAAGGCCAAGCUGAAGACUUUGCCGGAUUAGCUGAGAGGAGGUGCAUGGCGUAGUCGUGU